AGGUAGUGACGAAAAAUAACGAUACGGGACUCAUCCGAGGCCCCGUAAUCGGAAUGAGUACACUUUAAAUCCUUUAACGAGGAUCAAUUGGAGGGCAAGUCUGGUGCCAGCAGCCGCGGUAAUUCCAGCUCCAAUAGCGUAUAUUAAAGUUGUUGCGGUUAAAAAGCUCGUAGUUGAAUCUGUGUGUUACGCUGUCGGUUCACCGUUCGCGGUGUUUAACUGAUACGCUCGUGACACGUCCUACCGGUGGACUUAGCCCCCGAGGGCCCUCGUGGUUCCAAGGGGGCGGUCCUGUUUUAAUCCCAUCGCGGUGCUCUUUACCGAGUGUCGAGGUGGGCCGGUACGUUUACUUUGAACAAAUUAGAGUGCUUAAAGCAGACAAUUUUCGUCUGAAUACUGUGUGCAUGGAAUAAUGGAAUAGGACCUCGGUUCUAUUUUGUUGGUUUUCGGAACUCCGAGGUAAUGAUUAAUAGGGACAGAUGGGGGCAUUCGUAUUGCGACGUUAGAGGUGAAAUUCUUGGAUCGUCGCAAGACGGACAGAAGCGAAAGCAUUUGCCAAAAAUGUUUUCAUUAAUCAAGAACGAAAGUUAGAGGUUCGAAGGCGAUCAGAUACCGCCCUAGUUCUAACCAUAAACGAUGCCAGCUAGCGAUCCGCCGAAGUUCCUCCGAUGACUCGGCGGGCAGCU
This 686-nucleotide ribosomal RNA is filed under the name Acanthoscelio acutus. Its description in RNAcentral is "SSU rRNA". It matches the Rfam family "Eukaryotic small subunit ribosomal RNA", at positions 462 to 1088 of the family's 1831-position model. The record is from RNAcentral. Lineage: Eukaryota; Metazoa; Arthropoda; Insecta; Hymenoptera; Scelionidae.